Molecule: small nucleolar RNA, 102 nt
Filed under: Prunus persica (peach)
Lineage: Eukaryota; Viridiplantae; Streptophyta; Magnoliopsida; Rosales; Rosaceae
Description: snoRNA snoZ266
Rfam family: Small nucleolar RNA Z266
About the family: Z266 is a member of the C/D class of snoRNA which contain the C (UGAUGA) and D (CUGA) box motifs. Most of the members of the box C/D family function in directing site-specific 2'-O-methylation of substrate RNAs.
Source: Rfam by way of RNAcentral
GCUUGGCAAGAAUGAUGAUUCAAUUAGAUGUGUGAAAAAGGGAAAUCCUUUUUUUAUGAACUCAACUAUUUGAGGCAUUUGGAUUUGUCUGACUUGCCUGCC